Molecule: long non-coding RNA, 946 nt
Organism: Armigeres subalbatus
Lineage: Eukaryota; Metazoa; Arthropoda; Insecta; Diptera; Culicidae
Exons: 2
Source: RefSeq, a predicted model, not a curated record
CACGAGACCAGCACCGCCAGAGGCGCUAGUGUAGUUUACUCACAUUUUGGUAAAUCUAUUUGAAAGUGUUUUGCUGUGAGUUUUGACAGAUUCCUAAUCUCAACCGUGUUUGUUUUUAUUUAUAUUUACGAUUUUCCGUAUUCGCUUCGGUUAUGUGUAUUUAUAAAUAUCAUAAGUUUACCCCAGCAUUAUCCUGGAGUACCGGACUUGUUUCGCUAAGGUGUUAUCGCCGCCGACGACUGAUGCAGUAGAUGAGAACGUCGGCGCUUAGAUCCUCCAAGAGAAAUAGGAAUAUAGGAAUUGCCCCGUCAAACAGAAAAAGCAGAAAAUUAGUGAAACAGCGAAUGAAAACACCCGGUCUGUCACCGGAACAAUUGCCUGUGCGGAUGUUAGGGCUACACCAGAUCCCGAUGAAUACCAAAACCACCGUGGAAAAACUAGUAUCAGGUUAUCUAUGGCGACACGGACAGUAUCAUUAUCAACACCAAACAGCAUCGAUUCAGACGAGAUGUUCAAGAUAGGUGCUGACAUCCAGCAGAUCGCCAAUAAAACAUAUAAAUAGUUGGAGCUAGACAUCGACGGAUUGUACAAGUACGUCCUGCUGUUGAAGACAAGAAAGUACGACCGUUUGGAUUGCGAAGAUCGAGGAAACAUUCAAAUGCACCCAGGAGUUGAAAGGUUCGGAUAUCGUUCGGCAAAAUUGUUCGAGGAUGGCGGUAAUUACUGGAACUUCAAUAUUGAAUGAAAUCUUGUCGGACAACCCGAAUAGGGAACAUUCACACACAAAUAGACAAGUUAAAAAUGAUUUCAUGACCCCACUACAGAAGCUUCCCUCCUGGAAGGCACAACGCAAAUAACAAGACCGCUCAAUGAAUAUCAGGAUGCAACCCAGCUACCUCGCGUAACUGUUGCAAUGUGAGUGAAUAAAAUAAUGAAUUUAAUACGA